Molecule: ribosomal RNA, 392 nt
Filed under: uncultured bacterium
Lineage: Bacteria
Description: partial 16S ribosomal RNA
Rfam family: Bacterial small subunit ribosomal RNA
Source: RNAcentral
AUACGGAGGAUGCAAGCGUUAUCCGGAUUUAUUGGGUUUAAAGGGUGCGCAGGCGGCCAUUUAAGUCAGCGGUUAAAUCGUGGGGCUCAACCCCAUUCUGCCGUUGAUACUGGGUGGCUUGAUUGCGGUCGAGGUUGGCGGAAUUCGUUGUGUAGCGGUGAAAUGCAUAGAUAUGACGAAGAACACCGAUUGCGUAGGCAGCUGACCAGACCGCAAAUGACGCUCAUGCACGAAGGUGCGGGGAUCGAACAGGAUUAGAUACCCUGGUAGUCCGCACAGUAAACGAUGAAUACUUGUUUUCGGCGAUAUAAUGUCGGAGGCAAAGCGAAAGCGAUAAGUAUUCCACCUGGGGAGUACGCCGGCAACGGUGAAACUUAAAGGAAUUGACGGGG